This 4381-nucleotide long non-coding RNA is filed under the name Homo sapiens (human). Its description in RNAcentral is "PCGF3 antisense RNA 1, transcript variant 3 (PCGF3-AS1)". The record is from RNAcentral. Lineage: Eukaryota; Metazoa; Chordata; Mammalia; Primates; Hominidae.
AUUGCAAGCCUCUGCAGAGGCGCUGGAGCUGGGUCAGUCCGCCGCUCACCCCGCGGCCGCACCUUCCCGCCUUCUCAGUGACAACCACGAACUUGAGUGUGUGGUCCUUGCCCAGGAUCUCCUCGUUGCAUAAAAUGUCCAGCUGGGGGAUAAGGAGGUUUGAUUAGCAGCGGAGAGGUGCUCAACCCACACUGACAUGGCCACCUUGAUGCUGGCCCCAUCACACCCUGUCUACCACACCUGCCGUACUGAGCAACGGGAAGAGGUGGUUUGCAGCCCCAUGAGCAGCCCUGACAGCUCCGGAAUCGGGCACCCUGGUUCCCCAGGUGGCACAGGUGCCUGAGAGGCCCAUAGGGCCGAAGUGUUUCCCUCCCCAUCCCACCCAGGCCCAGUCCACACCAGCCCCCUCCCACGGCUGCAGCCUCCAGGGGCACCCUCUCCCCACAGGCCCUACCUCCGGUCCAGGCUGUCCCUCCCUCUCACCAUAGUGCAAAAAUGCACUAGGCUCCCCAGUCUUUUAAAAAAAUUAGACUUUUUAAAGAACAAUUUAAGGUUUACAGCAAAAUUGAGAGGAAGGUACAGGGAGUUCCCGUCCCCCUUGGAACCCCCCUGCCACCAACACCCUGCAUGGGGGCACAUUAGUCACCACCCAGGAACCUGCACUGACAUCACCUCCACCGAGUCCAGAGCGGAUGUCAGGUCGCCCUGGUGGCACAGCCACAGGUGGACAAACAGCAGCAUCGCCGCCCAGGAGCCCUGUGCCCGCCCACUCCUACUACCCUCCUCAAGCCCCUGCAGCCUCCGGAUGGUUCUGCCUUUUCCAGUGCGCCAUGCUGCAGAGCUGGAGUCGCACGGCCUACAGCCUUUUCAGAGGGGCUUCUCUACUUAGUAACAGGGACUUGAUGUUUCUCCCAUGUGCCUGCUCUUGGCCCGACUGCUCAUUUCUUUUCAGUACUGGAUAAUAGUCCAGUAUGGAUGCACCACGGUUUAUUUUUCCACUUAUCUACUGAAGGGCAUCUUGGUCGCUUCCAGGUUUUGGUAAUUAUGAAGAAAGAUGCUAUCAACAUCCGGGUGCAGGUUUUUGUGUGGGCAGGAGAUUUCCAGUGGGUAAAUGACGAGGUGUGGCUGCUGGGUGGUUUGCCGAGAGUGUGUUUCGUGUUGUCAGCAGCUGCCAAGCUGUUCUCCACAGGGCCUGCGGGUUCCACUUCCCACAGGAAUGAACCUGCGCUCCCGGCGUUUCCCGAAUGUGUUGUCAGUGCUUGGGAUUCUGGCCCUUCUAUGGGGUACGCGUGGUGCCACGCAGUUUUCCUUGCGUUUCCCUGAUCAUGUAGACAGUUCUUCAGAUUCCUCCCUGGGGAAGGCAUGAAUUGAAGCAGCCCCACCUGCCUGAGUGGCUGGGUUGGGGGCUCAGAGGCACGGUUAACGCAGCAGCAGCGCAAACCUCACACUCUUCCCUGGAGGAACCAGCCCUGCGCUGGGAAAUGGCCAACCUCUUCCCCACCCCCUGCAGCCCCACUGUCCGGCAGCUUCCCGCUACACCUCCACAUGAAAAUCCAAGGACUUCCUCGGCCUGCUCUGUCCCCAGCUACCAUCCAUCUUUUCUGUUUCGCUACACAGAAAAGCAAACAAAACGAUAGAAACUUAGCAAAAAGCGUUGCCCCAUUUCCUUCUCUCCCUUCCCCCCGUGUCCUGACUUGGUUUCUCCAUGAUCUCCAGGCAGCCCGUGCUCAGUGAGUCUCCCCAACCCCGGUGUGCUGUCCGUAUCCCCGGCCAACCUGUGGGACACUCAAGGCUGGCAUUGGCCCCCCAUGACCUGACAGCCUCUGCUCUGUGCCACCACAGCAGCUACGCCAGCCUGUCCCGAGACACCACCCCCCACCCCAAACCGAGCAGCCCCAGGCCUGCAGUCAUUCCUGACCCCUUCCUUUUCUCUGCAUCACCACCCAAAUACAUCAGCAACUUAUUGUGGCUUUCUCUGAAUUAGUCUCCUGCGGCUGCCGUGGAAAUUAUCACGAGGUGGUGUCUUCAAACAAUAGAAAUGUACUCAGUUCCAGAGUCCAUAACAGCCACACUCCCUCUGCAGGCUCCAGGGGAGAAGCACAGUCCAUUCCGUGCUGCUGCCACAGAACACCACACACUGGGUGAUUUAUGAAGAACAAAUUGAUUUCGGCACAGUUCUGGGAGCUGGGACAUUCAAGGUCACCACGUUGCCACCUGUGAAGGCCUUCUGCUGCAUCCUCAUGUUGGGGAAGAUCAGAAGUGAGAACACAUGCUGGCCAGUCCUUUCACAGCAGCAUCAAUCCGUGCAUGGGGCAGGGCCCUCGGCCUGAGCGCCUCCCCCAGGCCCUAACUCCCAGCACUGCCCUGCUGGGGAUGGAAUUUCCAACAUGAAUCUGGGGGAUGCUUUCGGACCACAGCCGGGGAGCCUGCCCUGGCUUCCAGCUGCUGGUGGCCCAGGGGCUCCCUGGCUUGCCUCGAGGCUGCCUCCCUCCAGCCUCCAGUCCGUCCUCUGCUCUGUCCUCACCAGGGCCUCCUGUCUCGAGUCUUCCUCCGCCUCACUUGUGUCAUGGGAUUUAGGCUCCACCCAGAUAUUCCAGAAUUAUUUCAUCCCAAAAUCCUUUAUUUAAUUAUAUCUACAAAGAUCCUUUUCCAAACAAGAUCCCAUUUGCAGGCUCUGGGGGUUAGGAUGUGGCUUAUCUUCUGGGGCCACCACUGAGUCCACUGCUGCUACAGACAGCAUCUCAAGUCUGUCCACUUCUCCACCCUGACCGCCCCCACCACAGUCCGCCUCUCCUGCAACUCCUGGCGCUGGCCUCUCCUGCGUCCAUUUCUGCACAGCCUGAGCGAUUUUCAAAAACGACACCAGACCCAUGCUCCUGCCCACAGCCGCCAGCGCCUUCUGUCUCCAUGCAAAGCUGGACCCUGCUGGCGCCUGCAUCCCCAUGGUGUCACUGCCUUGGGGGCUCACAGGGACCCACACUGGCAUGUUCAUGGUGCGCCCGCUGCCAAGGCCGCCUCAUGCCAGCACUCCUUCGUCUCCUUACACACCACAGCCUGGAAGGGUCCUCCCUCUCUGCAUCCGCCCAUGUCUCCCCUUGUGAAAUUAAAGCACAGAAUUUCUCGUUUUGAGGAAAACCUUUAUCCUAUUUUAAAACAGUCUCAUCAUCCCCGCCCUAGUUCUCUCUUCCACUCACAGUAGCAUUCCACGUUCCCUGUCUCUGGGCAUCCUACAACCCUUAGGGCUGUCUCCUAUCCCGCUCCCCGGUGAAGCAGGCAAAACGGAUUUUUUUCUGGUUAAAAUCUCCAAAAUUGUUAAAAACAAAACAAAACUAAGCAAAGAAUCUUGGAGUUACCUUUAGAAAUAAGAGAGGACUUGUUAUGGUUUCUACUUAGGGAUCAACUGUUACCUCGUUAAAGGAUGAAAGGUUGAGUUUUUUGGCGAUGAACUUCUUCAGAUGCAAGACGGUCGCCUGGGCUGAGCAGCGGAUCCACUUCCGCUUCAGCCCGCGCAGUUUGCUGCUGUUACACUCCAGGCAGAUGCUCACCUGCGGGAAAGGACGCUGGUGAGAGCGCAGCAGGAGGGUUCCCCCGGACGGUUCUGGAGGCUUCCUUAGACAUAUUUCACUAAUUCCUCAAUCUAGGACUGCUGACCUUUUUGAGAUCAGACAUCUGCUUUGACUUCAACACUGCAGAAAAAGAAUCUUACAUACCUUAUCUGAAAACCUGUUUAUCGUCUGCUUGCCAUUUUGUGAACUAUAACCUCACCCUGUUAAUUCUGUGUUAUUAACAUAAUAGUUGAGAGUUAAUCCCACAGUUACUUAUCCAUCGCAGGCACUGGGUUCUUGGUCUCCAGCUAAGCCUGUCCGGACAAACAUGGCGCAAAGGGGAGUGGGCGGCCCCGUGUCUGCGAAUGCACUCGGGGAGACAGCAGCGACUGCAGGAAGACAGUAGGGAGAAGCCUUGAGCAGGGCCACAGGCGGAAGGUCACAGCUGCCUUCCAGGUGACCAGCAGUUUGGCCGCAGGAUAAAAAGUGACUGUUAAGGGGACUGUGGAGUCCCAGCAGCCACGGGCUCCCUGCCCGGUGCGAAAAGGAAUCUGCCCAGGACGAGGCUUCACCCAAGGGCCCGGCCGGCUUGGCCCCCAAGAUGUGCCUGACAAGGAAGGGCGACGCUCACGGCAAACGCUUCUACAGGUGGAGCCGCAACAAACGGCACAGUUAGGGCCUAAAAAUGCAGUGGAAGAAUGGACAGGGGGUUAACUGAAACAUGUAUGUCUAAAAUUACAAAAGAUACAAAAGGGAGGACACCAGGGGUACAGACGGGCAAGUAUUGAAGGUAAUCAGAUACAAUUUCUAAAAAUAAAAACACUCACGGAAACUAA